RNAcentral lists this unclassified non-coding RNA (266 nucleotides) under soil metagenome. RNAcentral describes it as "partial contains small subunit ribosomal RNA, internal transcribed spacer 1, and 5.8S ribosomal RNA". The record is from RNAcentral.
UUUCCGUAGGUGAACCUGCGGAAGGAUCAUUACCGAGUUAGGGUGCCUAACCCGCGCCCGACCUCCAACCCUUUGUCUACCUGACCUUAUGUUGCUUCGGCAGGCCCGCCUGCCUGGACCUCGCGUCCGGGCGGGCCGCCGGGGGUCUCGCGACCCCGGGCCCGCGCCUGUCGAUGGCCCUUACCAAAACUAUUUGUUAAAACGUGUCGUCUGAGUUAUCUAAACAAAUGAAAUUAAAACUUUCAACAACGGAUCUCUUGGUUCUG